This 532-nucleotide ribosomal RNA is filed under the name Filobasidium magnum. RNAcentral's name for it is "partial large subunit ribosomal RNA". It matches the Rfam family "Eukaryotic large subunit ribosomal RNA", at positions 128 to 647 of the family's 3401-position model. The record is from RNAcentral. Lineage: Eukaryota; Fungi; Basidiomycota; Tremellomycetes; Filobasidiales; Filobasidiaceae.
CCNCAGGUCANCCGAGUUGUAAUCUAUANAAGUGUUUUCCGUGCUGGCUCAUGUACAAGUCCCUUGGAACAGGGCGUCAUANAGGGUGAGAAUCCCGUCCUUGACAUGAACUACCAGUGCUCUGUGAUACAUUUUCAACGAGUCGAGUUGUUUGGGAAUGCAGCUCAAAAUGGGUGGUAAAUUCCAUCUAAAGCUAAAUAUUGGCGAGAGACCGAUAGCGAACAAGUACCGUGAGGGAAAGAUGAAAAGCACUUUGGAAAGAGAGUUAAACAGUAUGUGAAAUUGUUGAAAGGGAAACGAUUGAAGUCAGUCGUGNUCUUUGGAUUCAGCCGGUUCUGCCGGUGUACUUCCUUUGAGUGGGGUCAACAUCAGUUUUGAUCGCUGGAUAAAGGCUGGAGGAACGUAGUACCCUCGGGUAAACUUAUAGCCUCCUGUCACAUACAGUGGUUGGGACUGAGGAACGCAGCACGCCUUUAUGGNCGGGAUUCNUCCACGUACGUGCUUAGGAUGUUGACAUAAUGGCUUUAAACGA